AUGCCGAUGGCGGGUUGCCACGUCCUCGUGCGCUGCGUUCUGUUCGCAAUGCCAACCUUUGCGCUCACGGCUUUACGCGCGCCGAAGAAACUCUUCAAGGAAAUCGAUAAGUCGAGGAGACGCUUCCUCUGGGCACACGAUGACGAGAUCUCUGGGGCGAAGUGCAAGGUGGACUGGAAGACGGUAACGACGCCGGAGCAGCAUGGCGGCCUGGGCAUCCAUGAUCUAUCCAGGUUCGCCCGCGCAAUGCGACUAUGGUGGAUGUGGCUCGCCUGGCAACAGUCGCACCGACCUUGGGUCGGCACCGGCACGCCUUGCAACAGCAGGGAUUUGGCCCUGUUCGCAGCAUGCACAUCCGUAACCAUCGGGAAUGGACCUCAGCUUCCUUCUGGUCCUCCUCCUGGCUGGGAGGCCGGCAGCUUUGCGCGGCCUUCCCGGCGCUCUUUGCUGCAUCCAUCAGGAAGAACCGGUCGGUUCAAGAGGCCUUGUAGGGUAACCGCUGGGUCCUCGACCUCAGGCAUGCCAACGGUAGCGACAUCGUCCGCCAAUUCAUUGAACUAG
This 561-nucleotide ribosomal RNA is filed under the name Triticum aestivum (bread wheat). RNAcentral describes it as "partial small subunit ribosomal RNA". The record is from RNAcentral. Lineage: Eukaryota; Viridiplantae; Streptophyta; Magnoliopsida; Poales; Poaceae.